RNAcentral lists this long non-coding RNA (212 nucleotides) under Elaeis guineensis (African oil palm). Its description in RNAcentral is "long non-coding RNA (EGUI_LNC056622)". The record is from RNAcentral. Lineage: Eukaryota; Viridiplantae; Streptophyta; Magnoliopsida; Arecales; Arecaceae.
CUUUUAGAUCAAUGGCUAGGUUGGUCGAGCCAUACUCAGACCUUAAUAUUUGUUUGUUGGAUGCACUUGGUGUAGCAUGUUAAUAGUUGGACUUAACUAAGAUUUUCAGUGGAGGCAUCAUACGUCUGUUGAAGAGAUGCCUGGGGUAAAACAUAAUUACUAAAAAUUAUUUGAUAAAAUAAUUGGUUAAGAAUCUACCCAUGUAUGCACUA